This 483-nucleotide ribosomal RNA is filed under the name uncultured bacterium. RNAcentral describes it as "partial 16S ribosomal RNA". It matches the Rfam family "Bacterial small subunit ribosomal RNA", at positions 30 to 506 of the family's 1533-position model. The record is from RNAcentral.
AUUGAACGCUGGCGGCAGGCCUAACACAUGCAAGUCGAGCGGAUGAAGGGAGCUUGCUCCUGGAUUCAGCGGCGGACGGGUGAGUAAUGCCUAGGAAUCUGCCUGGUAGUGGGGGAUAACGUCCGGAAACGGGCGCUAAUACCGCAUACGUCCUGAGGGAGAAAGUGGGGGAUCUUCGGACCUCACGCUAUCAGAUGAGCCUAGGUCGGAUUAGCUAGUUGGUGGGGUAAAGGCCUACCAAGGCGACGAUCCGUAACUGGUCGGAGAGGAUGAUCAGUAAACUUGAACCUGAGACACGUCCCAGCUCCCAACGGGAGGAAGCAGUGGGAAUUAUUGGAAAAGGGGCGAAAGCCUGAGCCAGCCAGGCGGGGUGUGUGAAGAAGGCCUUCGGAUGGUAAAGCACUUUAAGUGGGGAGGAAGGGCAGUAAGUUAAUACCUUGCUGUUUUGACGUUACCAAUAGAAUAAGCACCGGUUAACUUCGU